Molecule: ribosomal RNA, 467 nt
Filed under: uncultured bacterium
Lineage: Bacteria
Description: partial 16S ribosomal RNA
Rfam family: Bacterial small subunit ribosomal RNA
Source: RNAcentral
GACGAACGCUGGCGGCGUGCUUAACACAUGCAAGUCGAACGGAAAGGCCCUGCUUUUGUGGGGUGCUCGAGUGGCGAACGGGUGAGUAACACGUGAGUAACCUGCCCUUGACUUUGGGAUAACUUCAGGAAACUGGGGCUAAUACCGGAUAGGAGCUCCUGCUGCAUGGUGGGGGUUGGAAAGUUUCGGCGGUUGGGGAUGGACUCGCGGCUUAUCAGCUUGUUGGUGGGGUAGUGGCUUACCAAGGCUUUGACGGGUAGCCGGCCUGAGAGGGUGACCGGCCACAUUGGGACUGAGAUACGGCCCAGACUCCUACGGGAGGCAGCAGUGGGGAAUAUUGCACAAUGGGCGGAGGCCUGAUGCAGCAACGCCGCGUGCGGGAGGACGGCCUUCGGGUUGUAAACCGCUUUCGCCUGUGACGAAGCGUGAGUGACGGUAAUGGGUAAAGAAGCACCGGCUAACUACGG